Patella vulgata (common limpet) is the source of this 7984-nucleotide long non-coding RNA. RefSeq lists it as uncharacterized. The record is from RefSeq and is a predicted model, not a curated record. The transcript is spliced from 2 exons. Lineage: Eukaryota; Metazoa; Mollusca; Gastropoda; Patellidae.
AUAUCGUCCAACAAAGGAGAAGCAAUGACAUCUGUUCAGGAUUGAUUUGAUGAAUUGUCCGACAAAGGAUUAAGUCAGCCAAUCAAGGCAGAAUAGUAGUUAAUCAAGGUAGGUGUGUAGACGACAUAACACGAUAAAUAGUCGAUCACUUAAUUACCUAAUCAAUCCAGCCUAUUAUCAACGAUAAUCGGGUUGCACGGUAGUUAUACACUCAGUACACUAUAUUAAUUUUGGAAUUUGAAUAUUAUUCACCAUGUCUUGAUGUCCGAUUGGGCAUAUUCCCGGUCGGACAAUUUUGGGCGUUUCGAAAAAAGAUUCGGACAAGUCCGGAAUAUACGGGUAAAAUCCCAUCACUGGUCCAACCUAUACCUAUUGUCAUAGUUCUCAUGCCUCUAAUUCCUGUAAAAUUGUUACAAGUGUACAAGCCAGAAAAGAGAUUCUGAGAAGAUCCAAAAGAUGUUACAUCUGUCUCAGAAAAGAACAUUUUAAUAGAAGUUGUGAUGGUAAAAACUGUCAAAAAUGUGGACAGAGACAUAUAAGUAUUUGUUCUCAACUCCACCCUGACUUCAAUAAUCGAUCAGAAAAUCCAAGAUAUGCAAAUUAUAGCCAAGAUUUUAGGUAUCAAGUUCCGCAAUCCCAGACUGCUAAUUAUUAUCAACCCAUGCCCAACCAGGUUACACUCCAAGGAAUGAUUACUAUAAUGAGCCUGCAAGAACUCAGAAUGCCAAUCCCAGUUAUAAAUUUCCAAAUAAUGGUCAACACCGUUAUCCACCCACACAACAACAGCAGCCGUCACAGUCAAGAGGCAAUAACCCAUAUCAAUCAACGAAUCCAGCUCAGAACAGCCUCACAAAGUUAUAUUUUGAAUCCACGACUCCUGUUCUAUUACAAACGGCCUAAUGCCAUGCAUUUCAUCCAGAUAGUUAUUUUAGAAGAACAGUUAUAAGACUUUUAUUAGACAGUGGUAGCCAGAGAACAUAUAUCACCAUGAAACUUCGAAAUUAUCUGGGUUUGCCGACAAUUGCUAAAAGAGACAUAAUCAUAAAGACGUUUGGUUCAUCCAAAGAAACAAGACAUAUGCGAACUAUUAACCUGUCAAACUUUAUACCAGGCCAAGCAGUAUUUUCCACAAUUGCCAAAUAUAUCGUUUGCUGAUAGCUGUUUGCCAGAAAGUAAUGUUGAGAUAGACUUAUUGAUAGGAUCCGACCAAUAUUAGAGUGUUGUCACCGGAGGUAUCAUACGGGGGGAGUCAGGACUCUCAGCCAUUUGUACGAAAUUAGGAUGGGUAUUAUCAGGACCAUUACACACUAGUGAUGUAUCCAUUGAAGAAAAUACAAACUUUAUCACUACCCAUGUAUUAAAGUGUGAUACCCAAUUAGAAGCUAGUAUUUCGUCAAACCAAUCAGAACUUGAAACCAGUCUUCAUAAAUUCUGGGACUUGGAGUCAUUAGGCAUUAAGCCAAGAUCUGUUUAUGAAGAUUUGAGUGAAUCAAUAAUGUUUAAAGAUGGACGAUAUCAAGUACAUCUACCAUGGAAAACCCCUUAUCCCUUGUUGCCUGAUAAUUAUUUGACUUGUUUCAAACGUUAUGAAAGUUUAAUCAGGAGACUCAACAAGGAACCUGAAAUUCUCAAAGAAUAUGACAAGACCAUUAAGGAUCAGCUCAAAAAUGGAAUCCUGGAAGUUGUUGAAGAUAGCAAUAUUGGAGAAGUUGGUAGAACUCAUUAUUUGGCCCAUCAUUGUGUUAUACGUGAGGAUAAGGAAACCACAAAACUCAGAAUUGUGUUUGACGGGUCAAAUAGAAAUCCAGGUCCUUCUUUAAACGAUUGUUUGCUAGUAGGCCCCCCACUGACACAUUAUUUAUUAGAUAUUCUUUUGAGAUUCAGAGUAAAUCGAAUUGGACUCACCGGUGACAUCAAAAAGGCAUUUCUCAUGGUAUCCAUAGCAGAAGAAGACCGAGAUGUAAUAUUUAUUUGGACCAAGGACAUUCAUGAUCCUAAUUCACCAUUUCAUAUUUUACGGUUUACCAGAGUGACAUUUGGUGUGUCAUCCAGUCCGUUCUUUUAAAUGCCACAAUAAAAUUCCAUAUGGAACAGUUCUUGGAAGAUGACCCAAACUUUGUCAAGAAAUUCAUGGAAUCAAUUUAUGUUGACGAUCUAAGUUCAGGUGCCAAUACCGUGGAUAAUGCGUAUGAAUUCUAUAAAAAAUCUAAGGAUAGGCUCACUAUGGCAGGUUUCAACUUACGGAAAUUUGUUAGUAAUUCAUCAGAACUCAUGGAUCGAAUCAAUACCAAUGAGUCGUUAUCGGAUGAUUUGAAACCCCAAGAAACUGUUAUUCAUGAUAAUCAUAUUAUUAGUGAUGAAGAUAGUUAUACCAAAAUUUAUUUUGGUUCAUCGGACAUUAACAGUGAACAAAGGAUACUAGGUGUAAGGUGGAAUUAUAUCUUGGACUUAUUCGUUUUUGAUCUCCAAGAAAUAGCCGAUUUAGCAAAAAAUUGUGUUCCCACCAAAAGAAACAUUGUAAGUCUGGCUUCUAAGAUAUUUGAUCCUUUUGGGUAUUUAUCACCAGUAACAAUCCAGUUCAAAAUGUUAUUCCAAGAACUCUGUAAGUGUGAUUAUGAUUGGGAUAAUGAACUCAAGGGAGAUAAUCUAGAUCACUGGACCACUUUAGUGGAAUCAUUACAAACCAAAACUACAUAUUUUCUUCCAAGAUGUUUAUUUUAUGGCGUUUCCGAAGCAGUCAUAAGUAUUUCAUUACAUGGCUUUUGUGACAGUUCCAUGAAGGCUUACGGUGCAGUCAUUUAUCUUAGAAUUGAAACUACAACAAACUGUUAAAUUCGAUUUCUGGUCUCAAAAACUCGAGUUUCACCCAUAACUCAACACACCAUACCACGUUUAGAGUUAUUAUCUGCUCUUGUAUUGGCCAGGUUAAUGGAGAGUGUAGUCAAGGCCUUAUCAGACCAAUUAGAUAUCCAAAAACUCUAUUGUUGGACCGAUUCAAAGGUAUCAUUAUAUUGGAUCAAAAGCAUACACUGUGAAUAUAAACAAUUUGUUCAAAACCGUGUAUCAGAGAUUCGUAACCUCACACCAAUUCACAGUUGGGGUCAUUGCUCAGGAAAAUCAAAUCCAGCAGACAUUUUAUCUAGAGGGAUAUCACCAUUAGAUCUCUUAACCAAUACAUUGUGGCAAAAUGGACCAAGUUGGUUAAGUCAAUUCACAGACACUACAGGUAGCGGAACUGACAAGCCCGAUAUAAUUCCAAAUGAAUGCAUCCAGGAAAUGAAAAUUCAGGAACGAGAUCGUGUCACCACUAGUCUCAUGAUUACAGAUUUGUUAAAUACUCACAUCAGUCAAAUUAUCAAUUGUGAGGACUUCAGUGACUAUAAUCGCCUAAUCCUUGUAACCAGUUAUAUACAUAUACAAUCUGGGGGGUUGGAUGGCUGAAUGGUUAGCGUGCGCGCGCUGUAUCAUAAAGUCUGUCAUUGAGUCGACUGGCGUGAUUUCGAAUCCCCGGUUGUACGUGGCAAGGAGUAGAGUCGCCUGUCCAACCUCGUGGGUUUUCUCCGGGGCCUCCGGUUUCCUCCCACUGCUAAAGACCCCUACGCGCAAGUGAAUUAUGUAAAUAAAAUUAAACCAUAUGUUAGUCCCGAAAUGACCUAGUUUGUGUCGAGUGGAUGUUGAACCACAUUUCUCUCUCUCUCUCACAUAAACAAUCUCAAAGCCAAAUCAAGGGAAACUCGGAAUUUAGCAACUCAUUUGACUCCAGACGAGCUCAAUAAAUCCGAGAAUUUAUGGUUAAAGGACAACCAAUCAGGUUUAAUCAAUAAUUCAAAGUUCAACCAGUGGAAGCAUGAGUUUGAUUUCUUCACUAGCCACGACGGGUUAAUCAAGUGCCAAGGUAGACUUCAAAAUGCAGAAAUUUCUGAUUCAUUCAAAAAUCCAAUUAUCUUGAACUCACAACAUCAUGUGACCCUAUUAAUAGUUAAAGAAUGUCAUAAUCGUGUCAUGCAUGGAGGAGUAAAAUCCACAUUGACUCAGCUAAGAUCGAAAUUUUGGAUUAUAAGAGGACGCCAAUUUGUACGGAAAAUCAUAUUCCGGUGUGUCGCAUGUCGAAAAUUUGAUGCUAAGCCAUAUCAAGUGUUAGUUCCGCCCCCACUUCCUUCAUUUCGUGUCAAUGAAUCUACACCUUUUAGUCACACAGGAGUAGAUUUUGCUGGACCUUUGUAUGUGAAAACGCAAACCCAAGAACUUCAAAAGGUAUGGAUUGCCUUAUUUACCUGCUGUUCCACACUUGCCAUCCACUUAGAAUUACUACCAGAUCUAACAACAGAAUCAUUUCUUCGCUGUUUCAAACGUUUUGCUGCCAGAUACGGAACUCCAAAUGAAAGUCAUCUCUGAUAACGCGAAAACCUUCAUAUCCGCGUCAGAACAACUCCAGAAAUUCACGGAUGAUCCAGUUAUUAGGAAUCAUUUUUCCCAGGAAAGAAUUAAAUGGUCUUAUAAUCUCGAGAAAGCUCCGUGGUGGGGAGGCAUUUUCGAAAGACUCAUAAAAUCCACAAAAAGAUGUUUACGGAAAUUCGUUGGAAAUGCCAAAUUAUCAUUUGAUGAACUCUUAACUGUUAUUGUAGAGAUCGAAACCAUUCUUAAUUGUAGACCACUAUCAUAUGUGUCAACCGAAGACUGGGAAGAACCUUUAACCCCCUCACAUUUACUUUACGGUCGUCGCAUACUCGGAUUACCAAGCGAAACAAAGGACUUAACUAAAGACUUUAAUCCAGUGAAACCAAUCGAAAUGCGAAGAAGACUUAAUCAUUUAUCUAUGAUAUUAAAUCACUUUUGGUCAAGAUGGAAGGGGGAAUAUCUUUUAGAACUUCGUAAUUCUCAUCGAAGUCAUUCAUCCAAUACUUCCAAUAUCAUUUCAGAAGGUGACAUUGUAAUCGUUAACAACGAAAAUCAACCACGUAGCCUUUGGAAGCUUGGAAAGGUGGAGAAACUCAUUAGAGGAGAUGAUGGACUUUCGCGCGGUGUCAAAGUCAGUACUAAUGGAAAAUCAUUUAAUCUACGCCGUCCAAUCCAGUUCUUGUAUCCAUUAGAAGUCAGUCAUAAGACAGAAACCGACAACCCAGUGGUCAUCGAUAUAGUUUCACAAGAAGCCAAAACUAUUGAAACAGAAACCAUACGUCCACGUCGUAAGGCAGCCGUGUCGGCAGAUAUCAAACGUAAAGGAUGGAUAACUCAAUUAACCCAGGAUAACGACGAUAUUUCAUAAUCCAUUCUAAUCAUUAUAUUUGUGUUACAAUUUAUAGGACUCCAAUAAUCCUUUACAAGAGUUCUUAUCCGUUUAUGUUAAUUUUCCAUGUUUAUUAUCUGUGUAUUAUUAUACUGUGUUCUAUUUCCCAUUGUGCCAGGACUCAAUUACCAAAGACUCAUAUUGUGAUAACCCUUUUUAUACGCCCACAUUGAAAUAUGGUCGUAUAUUGUUGUCGCCCCCGUCCGUCCGUCCGGCGUCCACAAGUAGAGGCUAAAGUUAAUAUCCGAUUGUUUAAGGUCAUGAGACGAAGAAGCCUAUUGAUUUUUGGCGAUUUCCGAUAAUUACUGCCAGAGUUAUGGCCCUUGAUCACUUCAAAAAAUCAUGUGGACGCUCUAGAGGCCAAAGUUAAUAUCCGAUUGACUUUAAAUUUAUACACAGUGUUUAAGGUCAUGAAACGAAGAAGCCUAUUGAUUGCCAGCGAUUUCCGAUAAUUACUGCCAGAGUUAUGGCCCUUGAUCACUUCAAAAAAAUCUUGUGGACGCUCUAGAGGCCAAAGUUAAUAUCCGAUUGACUUUAAAUUUAUACACAGUGUUUAAGGUCAUGAGACGAAGAAGCCUAUUGAUUUUCAGCGAUUUCCGAUUACUGCCAGAGUUAUGGCCCUUGAUCGCUUCAAAAAAUCUUGUGGACGCUCUAGAGGCCAAAGUUAAUAUCCGAUUGACUUUAAAUUUAUACACAGUGUUUAAGGUCAUGAGACAAAGAAUCCUAUUGAUUCUCAGCGAUUUCCGAUAAUUACUGCCAGAGUUAUGGCCCUUAAUCGCUUCAAAAAAUCUUGUGGACGCUCUACGAGGCCAAAGUUAAUAUUCGAUUGACUUUAAAUUUAUACACAGUGUUUAAGGUCAUGAGACAAAGAAGCCUAUUGAUUCUCAGCGAUUUUCGAUAAUUACUGCCAGAGUUAUGGCCCUUGAUCACUUCAAAAAAAUCUUGUGGACGCUCUAGAGGCCAAAGUUAAUAUCCGAUUGACUUUAAAUUUAUACACAGUGUUUAAGGUCAUGAGACGAAGAAGCCUAUUGAUUUUCAGCGAUUUCCGAUAAUUACUGCCAGAGUUAUGGCCCUUGAUCGCUUCAAAAAAUCUUGUGGACGCUCUAGAGGCCAAAGUUAAUAUCCCAUUGACUUUAAAUUUAUACACAGUGUUUAAGGUCAUGAGACGAUGAAGCCUAUUGAUUUUCAGCGAUUUCCGAUAAUUACUGCCAGAGUUAUGGCCCUUGAUCACUUCAAACAAUCUUGUGGACGCUCUAAAGGCCAAAGUUAAUAUCCCAUUGACUUUAAAUUUAUACACAGUGUUAAAGGUCAUGAGACGAUGAAGCCUAUUGAUUUUCGGCGAUUUCCGAUUACUGCCAGAGUUAUGGCCCUUGAUCGCUUCAAAAAAUCUUGUGGACGCUCUGGAGGCCAAAGUUAAUAUCCGAUUGACUGUAAAUUUAUACACAGUGUUUAAGGUCAUGAGACGAAGAAGCCUAUUGAUUUUCAGCAAUUUACGAUAAUUACUGCCAGAGUUAUGGCCCUUGAUCACUUUGAAAAAUCUUGUAGACGCUCUAGAGUCUAAAGUUAAUAUCCGAUUGACUUUAAAUUUUAUACACAGUGUUUAAGGUCAUGAGACGAAGACGUCUAUUCAUUUUCAGUGAUUUUCGAUAAUUACUGCCAGAGUUAUGGCCCUUGAUCACUUCAAAAAACCUUGUGGAUGCUCUAAAGGCUGAAGUUAAUAUCUGAUUGACUUUAAAUUUAUACACAGUGUUUGAGGUCACGAAGCGAAGAAUCCUAUUGAUUUUCAAAGAUUUCUGAUAAUUACUGCCAAAGUUCUGGCCCUUCUUGAUCACUUUGAAAAAUCUUCUGGACACUCUAGAGACCAAAGUUAAUAUCCGAUUGACUUCAGAUUGAUACACAGAGUUUAAGAUCUUGAGACGAACAAGUAUAUUGAUUUUCAAUGAAUUUUUAUGACUUGGAACAGCUAAAUCCAUGAUACAGUAUUAAAAGUUUUGUAUACAAAACGUUAGCAUGGGGGAGAACUUUAUAAAAACCAAACAAAUUCUAAUAGUUUUCUGAGUUGUUGCUCUUAAUCAGAUUUUAGUGUAUUAUAAAUGUUUCAUUACCGAAAAAAGUAAAAAUAUGCGACAACUCUUGUUGACUGCCCGGACGAUUUAGCUGCUGUGGGCGUAUGUUUCGUUGCCUGGCAACCUAUCUUUUAAAUUUUCAUUUAUCAGGGCCAUCAGAGGGGAGUGUGAGAGAGACUAAUAUAACCAAGACUAUAAUACUGUCCCUUUGAAAACUCUCCUGCAUUAGAAACCAUAAUUUUGUUAUUGUUGUUGAUUAAGCCAUGCUCCAUUUUCACUUUCAUUUUAUUUGUAUCAGUAUUUAUCAGUGAAUACUUACAUAAAAUCCAUAAACCAAAAGAACAAUUUGUCUUCUAUGAAUCGUAAAAGACACCACUCAAGGCGCCAAAGCUACGAAAAGCUGCUACAGUUACAUGUACAUUUUGUGAUUGAUAAGGUAUUAAAGACUAUUCUCAAUGGCCAACGAUUCCCCAGGUAUAUAUCAAUGGUGAUUUUAUUGGUGGCUGUGAUGUAAUAUUAGAAAUGCACAAAAAUGGGGACUUAAUUGAAGAACUUCAGAAAGCUGGCUUAAGAUCAGCUUUGCUUGAUAUGUAGAUUGGGAUCAAUAGGAUUAAAUUUUUUAGUAAAUAGA